RNAcentral lists this ribosomal RNA (506 nucleotides) under uncultured Oscillibacter sp. RNAcentral describes it as "partial 16S ribosomal RNA". The record is from RNAcentral. Lineage: Bacteria; Bacillati; Bacillota; Clostridia; Eubacteriales; Oscillospiraceae.
CACGUAGUUAGCCGUGGCUUAUUCAAGGGGUACCGUCUUCCGCUCUUCCCCCUUAAAAGAAGUUUACAACCUGAAAGCCUUCUUCCUUCACGCGGCGUUGCUGGGUCAGACUUGCGCCCAUUGCCCAAUAUUCCCCACUGCUGCCUCCCGUAGGAGUCUGGGCCGUAUCUCAGUCCCAAUGUGGCCGGCCAACCUCUCAGUCCGGCUACUGAUCGUCGCCUUGGUGGGCCGUUACCUCACCAACUAGCUAAUCAGACGCGAGGCCAUCUUCCAGCGAUAAAUCUUUGACGUCGGAGUCAUGCGGCUCCAACGCAUCAUGCGGUAUUAGCAGUCGUUUCCAACUUGUUCGUCCCCCUCUGGAAGGCAGGUUCCUCACGCGUUACUCACCAGUCCGCCACUAAGCAUUCCCAUCCGUUGUACCGAAAACUCCUUCAGGGGUGCUCGUUCACUUGCAUGUGUUAAGCACGCCGCCAGCGUUCGUCUGACGCACGGAUACGAAACUCCUA